GAAACGCAUAGAGGGCGU
This 18-nucleotide small nuclear RNA is filed under the name Arabidopsis thaliana (thale cress). Its description in RNAcentral is "snRNA_08364". Lineage: Eukaryota; Viridiplantae; Streptophyta; Magnoliopsida; Brassicales; Brassicaceae. The record is from RNAcentral.